RNAcentral lists this ribosomal RNA (254 nucleotides) under uncultured bacterium. RNAcentral describes it as "partial 16S ribosomal RNA". It matches the Rfam family "Bacterial small subunit ribosomal RNA", at positions 524 to 776 of the family's 1533-position model. The record is from RNAcentral.
UACAGAGGUCUCAAGCGUUGUUCGGAUUCAUUGGGCGUAAAGGGUGCGUAGGCGGCGCGGUAAGUCGGGUGUGAAAUCUCGGAGCUUAACUCCGAAACUGCAUUCGAUACUGCCGUGCUUGAGGACUGGAGAGGAGUCUGGAAUUCCUGGUGUAGCGGUGAAAUGCGCAGAUAUCAGGAGGAACACCGGUGGCGAAGGCGGGACUCUGGGCCGAUACUGACGCUGGAGGAGCGAAAGCGUGGGGAGCAAACAGG